CCAUGGCUCAGUUGGUAGAGCGACGCAUUCGUAAUGCGUAGGUCGCCGGUUCGAGUCCGGCUG
RNAcentral lists this transfer RNA (63 nucleotides) under uncultured Clostridium sp. It matches the Rfam family "tRNA", at positions 6 to 65 of the family's 71-position model. From Rfam's summary of the family: Transfer RNA (tRNA) molecules are approximately 80 nucleotides in length. Their secondary structure includes four short double-helical elements and three loops (D, anti-codon, and T loops). The record is from RNAcentral. Lineage: Bacteria; Bacillati; Bacillota; Clostridia; Eubacteriales; Clostridiaceae. RNAcentral also lists the same sequence under 1 other name.